Long non-coding RNA from Scaptodrosophila lebanonensis, 663 nucleotides. RefSeq lists it as uncharacterized. The record is from RefSeq and is a predicted model, not a curated record. Lineage: Eukaryota; Metazoa; Arthropoda; Insecta; Diptera; Drosophilidae. The transcript is spliced from 3 exons.
UAUAUACAUACCUCAGAAAUUUACAUGUUCAAAGAAAUUCGAAUGAACAAAGUUGAAGUUGAAAAAAAUUGUUUUUAAAGCAAAAUUACUAUACGUAGUUGUUGUGCAGCAGCAACGGAAUAAGUAAACAGGACACAAGAACUCGAUCGUGAACCAGAACCAGCUGCAGGACGAGGCACAAAAUGGUGUUGUUCUUCCUUUUGUUGGCAAUGGAAAUUUUCAACAUGCUCAAGUUUAUCUUUCUUAUACGUGAUGUACGUGUUGUACACGGCCUUGGCAAUGAGAAUGACGUCGAAGGGGAAGCACCGGCCGGUGGUCGUGGCUUUUGGGAAUCAGCGAGCCGGCCUGCGGACGGCGAUGAGGAGCAGACAGACGAGGAAUACCUUGAUGGGAUAAAUCAACACCUUCUACAUUUUAUAGGCCUGCUGUUUUCGGCCAGGAGGCCUUUUUAACCGAACACUAACUGUUGUGGGAGUCCAGUACAAACGAUUUGUGUGCCCACAACUGAGAAAAACACAAGACGCAAUACAACUCAGUAGCAUAGUCUUUGACAACAAUUACGCAGCCUUCAUUAAACUAAUUAAAUUAGCAGUUAAAAGCGCUUGAAAGACAAACUUUUAAAGAUUGCACUGGACAGAGGACAUUUAAUAAUGCACAGCUGGA